GGGGGUGAAAUAGGCUCGACAGAUGUCUAAAAGCUUUUCUUUCGUUCAGUAUUGUUCCGCUGUGACGGGCUACAUUUUAAAUGCUAACGAAAGUUACGCUAUUGCUGCUUAAUUAACUUCGGUUAAUUAAAAAGCAGGGGUCCGGGGCACCUUGCAACAGAACGCCCCACU
Molecule: transfer-messenger RNA, 171 nt
Filed under: Candidatus Pelagibacter sp. IMCC9063
Lineage: Bacteria; Pseudomonadati; Pseudomonadota; Alphaproteobacteria; Candidatus Pelagibacterales; Candidatus Pelagibacteraceae
Also listed under: 1 other name
Description: transfer-messenger RNA Pelag_sp_IMCC90
Rfam family: Alphaproteobacteria transfer-messenger RNA
About the family: Bacterial tmRNA, also known as 10Sa RNA or SsrA, is named for its dual tRNA and mRNA-like properties.
Source: RNAcentral